Molecule: ribosomal RNA, 443 nt
Filed under: Pseudolycoriella sudhausi
Lineage: Eukaryota; Metazoa; Arthropoda; Insecta; Diptera; Sciaridae
Description: partial large subunit ribosomal RNA
Source: RNAcentral
UGACCGUACAAAGGUAGCAUAAUCAUUAGUUUUUUAAUUGGAAACUCGUAUGAAUGGUUGAAUGAGGAAUAAACUUUUUUAAUAGAAAAAUUGAAUUUUACAUUUUAAUUAAAAGGUUAAAAUAUAUUUAAAAGACGAGAAGACCCUAUAGAGUUUUAUAAUUUAUAUUUAAUGUUAAAAAAAAUUAAUAAAUAUUUUUAUUUAAAUAAUUAUUUUGUUGGGGUGAUGAUAAAAUUUAAUUAACUUUUAUUUUUUUUUUACAUUAAUAAAUGAAUAAUUGAUCCACUAAUAGUGAUUAAAAAAUUAAAUUACCUUAGGGAUAACAGCGUAAUUUUUUUUUUAAGUUCAUAUUAAUAAAAAAUUUUGCGACCUCGAUGUUGGAUUAAGAUUUAAUUUUAGGUGCAGAAGUUUAAAAUUUAAGUCUGUUCGACUUUUAAAUUCUU